Molecule: unclassified non-coding RNA, 589 nt
Filed under: Hevea brasiliensis (rubber tree)
Lineage: Eukaryota; Viridiplantae; Streptophyta; Magnoliopsida; Malpighiales; Euphorbiaceae
Source: RNAcentral
GCCCAUUUCUAUGGAUAAUUAGACAAGAUGUAGUAAUGGGUGAUUCUGCAAUUUUGCCUGAAGAAUUUCUUGAGCACAUCAAUGAUAGAGGACUGCUAGCAAGUUGGUGUCCACAAGAUCAAGUGCUUGCACAUCCUGCAGUUGGUGUUUUCCUAACGCAUUGCGGAUGGAAUUCUAUGAUGGAAACUGUUAGUCACGGCGUGCCAAUAGUCUGUUGGCCUUUCUUCGCCGAUCAACAUACAAAUUGCCGAUAUGCAUGCUCUAAAUGGGGGAUUGGCAUGGAGGUCAAUCACAAUAUAAAUAGGAAUGAAAUUGAAGGUAUAGUUAAGGAAAUGAUAGAAGGGCACAAGGGAAAGCAACUGAGGGAGAAGGCACUAGAAUGGAAAAGGAAAGCAGAAGCAGCUACAGAUAUUGGAGGAUCAUCUUACAAUAACUUCAGUAGACUCAUUAAGGAAGCUCUCAAUUGUGGUGGCCAUGCAAAGCAGGAGUAUUGAAAUGAGGGACAAUAUUUCAGUUUCAGCUUCAAGUUUCUUUGUGAAUAAAUGUUCUUAGUUUCAUUUUCAGUAUAAAAGCAUCAUUUCAAGCCUGA